UGUGGAAAGACCUUCAAUUGUUCUUUGAACAAUUGGUUUUUAAUUAUUAUUUUUUUUUUUUUUUUUUCCGCCUAAUUUUUUUUCUUGCGUAGUAUUGAUGUUUCAAAAGAUGUCGCUUAGAUAUUUGGAAUAUGAUAUCGUAUAGUUUAUACGCUUUAAAAAUUUACAACUGCGUAACAAAAUACUUUACGUUGUAAGAGUUAUCUCCCCAAACACUGUUUUUUCUUGUGGCCACUACUCCUUCGCAACCGUUAAAGAUUACGACAAAUUUAUUUUACCAAAUUGCUCGUUACAUCUUCAGGAUUAGGAUAUUCAUUUGGACCGAAG
RNAcentral lists this long non-coding RNA (327 nucleotides) under Mytilus galloprovincialis (Mediterranean mussel). The record is from RNAcentral. Lineage: Eukaryota; Metazoa; Mollusca; Bivalvia; Mytilida; Mytilidae.